UUGAACGCUGGCGGCAGGCCUAACACAUGCAAGUCGAGCGGAUGAAGGGAGCUUGCUCCUGGAUUCAGCGGCGGACGGGUGAGUAAUGCCUAGGAAUCUGCCUGGUAGUGGGGGAUAACGUCCGGAAACGGGCGCUAAUACCGCAUACGUCCUGAGGGAGAAAGUGGGGGAUCUUCGGACCUCACGCUAUCAGAUGAGCCUAGGUCGGAUUAGCUAGUUGGUGGGGUAAAGGCCUACCAAGGCGACGAACCGUAACUGGUCUGAGAGGAUGAUCAGUCACACUGGAACUGAGACACGGUCCAGACUCCUACGGGAGGCAGCAGUGGGGAAUAUUGGACAAUGGGCGAAAGCCUGAUCCAGCCAUGCCGCGUGUGUGAAGAAGGUCUUCGGAUUGUAAAGCACUUUAAGUUGGGAGGAAGGGCAGUAAGUUAAUACCUUGCUGUUUUGACGUUACCAACAGAAUAAGCACCGGCUAACUUCGUG
RNAcentral lists this ribosomal RNA (483 nucleotides) under uncultured bacterium. RNAcentral's name for it is "partial 16S ribosomal RNA". It matches the Rfam family "Bacterial small subunit ribosomal RNA", at positions 30 to 507 of the family's 1533-position model. The record is from RNAcentral.